UGUGGUGAUCCGUGGCGGCGGGGCACCGGGGGACGGAGCCGCCUCAGACGCCACCGGGUUCAGCCCCUGGGGGGUUAUACAGGGGUCCAGGAGCGCUGCCACCCCUCAUACUGCACCCUAGGGUGCUGCUGAGGAACCCUGGAGGGGGAGCAGCGCAGAGGGGGUGAAGGUGGCAGUUAAAGAUGGAACACGCUGGGGUUUAAGAGGCACACGGCCAGGAGCGCUGGCAAACAGGGGCUGGGUGAGCAAAGCUGGGUGCAGCCCCAGCCCUGUUCCCCCCGCACCCACGCUGAGGGGCAGGGGGCACCCGGGGGCCCGGCCGGACCCAGCACCUGGGCAACACCAUGGAGUUACAGCUCCUUCUCUGCAGGCCACGGGCUUUACCUACGCUUCAUUCCCACCCCGCUGUACCAGGGCCAUGCUUGAUGCAGUCCCGCUACAGCCAGAAUCCUGCCACGUCCCUGACUCGGAGGUAGAGUUCUGCCAAGCUCCUGCAGAGAUGCUCCAGGUUGUGGCAAGUACCUGAGCCUACAGGGGGAGUACGCUGCAGCUCCUGGUAUCUCCGUCUCCAGCAGUCACCAUCACCACAGGACAGAGGCACUUUUUCAAAGUGGCUGCAAAGACCACAGAAGCCUGCCAGGAUAAAGUAUCAAGGGUAUUUUUUAAUUUAUGGUCCGCACAAGUUUAAUUGAGCACAGAUUCUGUAUACUUGCUGGGAAGAGAGAUGGGAAUUCCUAAAAUAGAAGGAAGAUCCCUCCAUUUUUUCAACACUGGUUUUCUUACUUCCUGAUUUUAUCCAUUAAAUACUUAUUUUACCACAUCA
This is a long non-coding RNA of Cygnus atratus (black swan), 823 nucleotides long. RefSeq lists it as uncharacterized. The record is from RefSeq and is a predicted model, not a curated record. NCBI's taxonomy places the organism in Eukaryota, Metazoa, Chordata, Aves, Anseriformes, Anatidae. The transcript is spliced from 2 exons.